Pelobates cultripes (western spadefoot toad) is the source of this 100-nucleotide non-coding RNA. Lineage: Eukaryota; Metazoa; Chordata; Amphibia; Anura; Pelobatidae. The record is from the annotation of a GenBank genome assembly.
AUAUAUAUAUACAGCCAAAAGUACAAGAUAGCACUCCAGGGACUUCCAAGUUGAAUGAAUAAAACUCCUGGAGUGCUAUCUUGUACUUUUGGCUGUAUCU